CUGGCGGCGUGCUUACCAUGCAUUCGAACGAUGAACCACUUCGGUGGGGAUUACUGGCGAACGGGUGAGUAACACGUGGGCAAUCUGCCCUUCACUCUGGGACAAGCCCUGGAAACGGGGUCUAAUACCGGAUAUCACUCCCGCAGGCAUCUGCGGGUGUCGAAAGCUCCGGCGGUGAAGGAUGAGCCCGCGGCCUAUCAGCUUGUUGGUGAGGUAAUGGCUCACCAAGGCGACGACGGGUAGCCGGCCUGAGAGGGCGACCGGCCACACUGGGACUGAGACACGGCCCAGACUCCUACGGGAGGCAGCAGUGGGGAAUAUUGCACAAUGGGCGAAAGCCUGAUGCAGCGACGCCGCGUGAGGGAUGACGGCCUUCGGGUUGUAAACCUCUUUCAGCAGGGAAGAAGCGAAAGUGACGGUACCUGCAGAAGAAGCGCCGGCUAACUACGUGCCAGCAGCCGCGGUAAUACGUAGGGCGCAAGCGUUGUCCGGAAUUAUUGGGCGUAAAGAGCUCGUAGGCGGCUUGUCACGUCGGGUGUGAAAGCCCGGGGCUUAACCCCGGGUCUGCAUUCGAUACGGGCUAGCUAGAGUGUGGUAGGGGAGAUCGGAAUUCCUGGUGUAGCGGUGAAAUGCGCAGAUAUCAGGAGGGACACCGGUGGCGAAAGCGGAUCUCUGGGGCAUUACUGACGCUGAGGAGCGAAAGCGUGGGGAGCGAACAGGAUUAGAUACCCUGGUAGUCCACGCCCCGUAACGGUGGGAACUAGUUGUUG
This 770-nucleotide ribosomal RNA is filed under the name Streptomyces sp. Bac303W4. Its description in RNAcentral is "bacterial SSU rRNA". It matches the Rfam family "Bacterial small subunit ribosomal RNA", at positions 36 to 825 of the family's 1533-position model. The record is from RNAcentral. Lineage: Bacteria; Bacillati; Actinomycetota; Actinomycetes; Kitasatosporales; Streptomycetaceae.